Molecule: ribosomal RNA, 557 nt
Filed under: uncultured bacterium
Lineage: Bacteria
Description: partial 16S ribosomal RNA
Rfam family: Bacterial small subunit ribosomal RNA
Source: RNAcentral
UAGGGAAUCUUCCACAAUGGACGCAAGUCUGAUGGAGCAACGCCGCGUGAGUGAAGAAGGUUUUCGGACCGUAAAGCUCUGUUGUUGGUGAAGAAGGAUAGAGGUAGUAACUGGCCUUUAUUUGACGGUAAUCAACCAGAAAGUCACGGCUAACUACGUGCCAGCAGCCGCGGUAAUACGUAGGUGGCAAGCGUUGUCCGGAUUUAUUGGGCGUAAAGCGAGCGCAGGCGGAAGAAUAAGUCUGAUGUGAAAGCCCUCGGCUUAACCGAGGAAUUGCAUCGGAAACUGUUUUUCUUGAGUGCAGAAGAGGAGAGUAGAACUCCAUGUGUAGCGGUGGAAUGCGUAGAUAUAUGGAAGAAUACCAGUGGCGAAGGCGGCUCUCUGGUCUGCAACUGACGCUGAGGCUCGAAAAGCAUGGGUAGCGAACAGGAUUAGAUACCCUGGUAGUCCAUGCCGUAAAACGAUGAGUGCUAAGUGUUGGGAGGCUUCCGCCUCUCAGUGCUGCAGCUAACGCAUUAAGCACUCCGCCUGGGGGAGUACGACCGCAAGGUUGAAAC